UAUAUCUUAGUUUAGGAAGAAUACUUGUUUUUGGUGUAAGAGGGUGAGGUAUAA
RNAcentral lists this transfer RNA (54 nucleotides) under Ophidascaris sp. CYZ-2020. RNAcentral's name for it is "tRNA-Gln". The record is from RNAcentral. Lineage: Eukaryota; Metazoa; Nematoda; Chromadorea; Rhabditida; Anisakidae.